Molecule: non-coding RNA, 152 nt
Filed under: Mitsuokella sp. oral taxon 131 str. W9106
Lineage: Bacteria; Bacillati; Bacillota; Negativicutes; Selenomonadales; Selenomonadaceae
Also listed under: 1 other name
Description: glmS glucosamine-6-phosphate activated ribozyme aptamer
Rfam family: glmS glucosamine-6-phosphate activated ribozyme aptamer
About the family: This entry contains a glucosamine-6-phosphate activated ribozyme that is found in the mRNA for GlmS. GlmS is an enzyme that uses fructose-6-phosphate and glutamine to generate glucosamine-6-phosphate. The ribozyme catalyses self cleavage of the glmS mRNA that is thought to regulate GlmS activity.
Source: Rfam by way of RNAcentral
GGAAUCAUCUUAGCGCUGGUUCUCAUGCGUGACAUGAGAGGACGAGGAGAAGGUUGUCGAGCCGUCAGCGGAUGCCUUCCGGCCGCCCGCCGAUAGAUUCCCGGCAAAGCCCGUGCGCGAGCGCGGGGACAAAAUGGGAUGGGGCGCAGCAG